GCCUGGCUGGCUCAGUCAGUGGAGCAUGGGACUCGUGAUCUUGGGGCUGUGGGUUCAAACCCCAUGUUGGGUG
Molecule: transfer RNA, 73 nt
Filed under: Ursus americanus (American black bear)
Lineage: Eukaryota; Metazoa; Chordata; Mammalia; Carnivora; Ursidae
Also listed under: 1 other name
Rfam family: tRNA
About the family: Transfer RNA (tRNA) molecules are approximately 80 nucleotides in length.
Source: Rfam by way of RNAcentral